Molecule: RNA transcript, 2272 nt
Organism: Arachis duranensis
Lineage: Eukaryota; Viridiplantae; Streptophyta; Magnoliopsida; Fabales; Fabaceae
Gene name: 60S ribosomal protein L18-2
Exons: 3
Source: RefSeq, a predicted model, not a curated record
ACAGUCUUCUCUCUGGCUCACUCUCUGUCUCUCUCAAUAUUAGGGCACGGAGAGGCACCACUGGCUACCAUUCAGACACCCACUGGCCACCGUCACUGGCCUCACUGUGUUUUUCCUCAGAACUGAUGCUGCUCUGCUUCUGCUGGAUAGCUUCUCAGAACCGACUGCUCUGCUUCCGCACUGCUUCUCAGAACCGGCUGCUCUACUUCCGUACUGCAUAGCUUCUCUGCGCUGCACUGCUCGCUGAAGAACCUUAGUCACGAUGCCACCAACAGCACCGCAAAGUGUGAAGGUCACUACGUUGCUCCUACUCUUCUUCUCCUCGGCGCUGCUCCUCCUAUUCUUCCCCUGUUCCUUUCUUCUCGGCGCUUCUCAUCUUUUUCUCCUCAGCUUUGAUGCUCUUUUGGUGAGGAAGGUCACAAGCCCCAGCUCAGCCACUCUUCUUCUUCUCGGUGCUGGUUUUGCAGAAAUUGAGGAAGGACAAGAACAUAAAGAAGGAAGAGGAGGGAAAGGAAUUAAUAGCGAAGAAGAAGUGGUUGAAGUUGAACUUGAGGAUGCAACAAAGGAAGAAGAAUUGGCAAAUGCAGAUGAACUGAACAGAAAGUUUGAAAAGUUCAUAAGGAAAAUGAAGGAGGAGAUCAGGAUUGAAGCUCAAACACCAUGUAUGUGUUUCUGUUCCUCACUAAUGAAUAACUCUUUUUUCCUUUUAUUACAAUAAUGUUAUAUAUAUGUGAGUAAGCUCUUAAUAACUAGUGUAUAAGUUUCUUGGUUUUAUAACCACGUCAUGCUUCUUCUAUAGUCUUUUCUUCUUGCUCUUCUACCUCUCUAUCACUUUCUUUAGUUAUUUGGCAAGAGUAUUUGGAAGUGUAGAAAGGGAAGGCCUUCUAUGACUUCCAGUUCAACACAAGGCUUGUAAAAUCCAUAAUUGUGUAUUUUUAGGUAGAGACUUUGUUCAUUUAUACUUAAACUUUGCUAAUUCUUGGGAAUUUUUUGGGAAAGUGGGCUAUUUCAUUUGCGCUUCUAUAUGUUUGAUUUGAAUAGAGCUUGUAAUCAUUUAAAAAUUAUUAAAAACCGUAAAUCCCUGCUUGUGUUCCUUGCUUGGAUAAAUUUUCAUCAUAUAGUUAAUUUUUUUCUUCUUUGGAAAGAUUUAAUCAUGUGGAUGUUUGCUACACUGCACCCAGGGAGUUCUUAUAUUUGCUAUGCAUAAUUUCUAGUGUCCAUUUUAGCUCAUUACUAGUCAUUAAUUUCUGGAUUGCAGAUCAUGAUAUAAAACAAACACAUGCUCUAAUAUGUACCAAAUUCUGAUUAAUAAUAUUCUGAUUAAUAAUGUUAUAUUUUAUGCUUUUUAGUAAUACUUUAGUGCUUGUAAUUUGCAAGGUUACCAAUGAUGCUGCUAUUCAUUUCCAUGCUAAUGUUGAAUAACCUUUGAUUAUUCCUUUCAUUAUACUAAGAGAACUCCUUUAACUAUAAAUUGUGCAAAUUUUGAUCUGUUUUAGAGAUUUAUUUAUUCUUUAUCAAAAUAUGCAUUUGGACGGUUUUGAUUUGGUGUGACAUGAUCAACUUUACCGCUUCCUUGUGAGGAGGACCGGCAGCAAUUUCAAUGUCGUGACACUGAAUCGCUUGUUCACGAACAUGGUUAACUGGCCUCUGCUUUCUCUGUCAUGCUUGAUUAAGUUCAUGAAGGGUAAGGUUUGUUUUUCCCUCUCUUAUCUUUCUCAGUGGUAAGAUAGGAAUUCUUUGUUUUUUCGAUGCAGGAAGGUAAAGCCGUGGUAGUGGGAAUUGUAACCGAUGAUAUCAGAAUGUAUGAAGUUCUUGCAUUGAAAGUUACUGCACCCAGGUUUAUAGAGACUGCACAUGCUAGAAUAGAGAUGGCUGGUGAUGAAUGCUUGACAUUUGAUCAGCUUGCACUUAGGGCACCUCUCGGACAGAACACGGUUCUUUUUAGAGGCCCAAAGAACUCCAGGAAAGCUGUAAAAUACUUUGGUCCUGCUCUUGGUGUUCCUCACAGCCAUACCAAGCCUUAUGUACGAUCUAAGAAAAGGAAGUUUGAGAGGGCUAGAGGAAGGAAGAACAGCAAAAAACUUAGGAUUUAUGUUGUAUUGUUUCUUUAUUUUUCUUUAGUUUUUAGUUUUGGAAUUUAACCCUUUCUCCCAUAUCCUAGAAUUGAAGACAGUUGUCUUAAUGAUAACUGUUGCUGAAAUAUUGAUAAAUGGGCCUGCUUUUAUGCGCAGGUUGAGAAGCUUGUUGAGAAAUCAGAGUUUUGAACUCGAAA